AGUUUUAUGUAAAUAUAUGGUCCCAUCAAUAUCGUAAAUUAAUAAUUGUAUAAAUGUAUCAACU
RNAcentral lists this small RNA (64 nucleotides) under Arabidopsis thaliana (thale cress). Its description in RNAcentral is "ATSL196230". The record is from RNAcentral. Lineage: Eukaryota; Viridiplantae; Streptophyta; Magnoliopsida; Brassicales; Brassicaceae.